GAUGAACGCUGGCGGCGUGCCUAAUACAUGCAAGUCGAGCGAACGGACGAGAAGCUUGCGUCUCUGAUGUUAGCGGCGGACGGGUGAGUAACACGUGGAUAACCUACCUAUAAGACUGGGAUAACUUCGGGUAACCGGAGCUAAUACCGGAUAAUAUUUUGAACCGCAUGGUUCGAAAGUAAAUGACGGUCUUGCUGUCACUUAUAGCUGGAUCCGCGCUGCAUUAGCUAGUUGGUAAGGUAACGGCUUACCAAGGCAACGAUGCAUAGCCGACCUGAGAGGGUGAUCGCCCACACUGGAACUGAGCCGCGGUCCAGACUCCUACGGGAGGCCGCAGUAGGGAAUCUUGCGCAAUGGGCGAAAGCCUGACGGAGCAACGCCGCGUGAGUGAUGAAGGUCUUCGGAUCGUAAAACUCUGUUAUUAGGGAAGAACAUAUGUGUAAGUAACUGUGCACAUCUUGACGGUACCUAGUCAGAAAGCCACGGCUAACUACGUG
This 497-nucleotide ribosomal RNA is filed under the name uncultured bacterium. RNAcentral describes it as "partial 16S ribosomal RNA". It matches the Rfam family "Bacterial small subunit ribosomal RNA", at positions 28 to 507 of the family's 1533-position model. The record is from RNAcentral.